Molecule: ribosomal RNA, 491 nt
Filed under: uncultured bacterium
Lineage: Bacteria
Description: bacterial SSU rRNA
Rfam family: Bacterial small subunit ribosomal RNA
Source: RNAcentral
AAAUGAAUAGACGGGGGCCCGCACAAGCAGCGGAGCAUGUGGUUUAAUUCGACGCAACGCGAAAAACCUUACCAAGACUUGACAUCGCGCGCUAUCCCUGGAAACAGGGAGUUCCUUCGGGACGCGUAGACAGGUGGUGCAUGGUUGUCGUCAGCUCGUGUCGUGAGAUGUUCGGUUAAGUCCGAUAACGAGCGCAACCCUCAUUACUAGUUGCCAAUAUUAAGUUAGGAACUCUAGUGAGACUGCCGUGGAUAACACGGAGGAAGGUGGGGAUGACGUCAAAUCAUCAUGCCCCUUACGUCUUGGGCUACACACGUGCUACAAUGGCUACUACAAAGAGCUGCAAACCUGCGAGGGCAAGCGAAUCUCAAAAAGGUAGUCUCAGUUCGGAUUGUGGGCUGCAACCCGCCCACAUGAAGUCGGAGUUGCUAGUAAUCCCGAAUCAGCAUGUCGGGGUGAAUGCGUUCCCGGGCCUUGUACACACCGCCCGU